Molecule: ribosomal RNA, 253 nt
Filed under: uncultured bacterium
Lineage: Bacteria
Description: partial 16S ribosomal RNA
Rfam family: Bacterial small subunit ribosomal RNA
Source: RNAcentral
UACGAAGGGGGCUAGCGUUGUUCGGAAUUACUGGGCGUAAAGCGUGCGCAGGCGGCUUCUCAAGUCAGGGGUGAAAGCCCAGAGCUCAACUCUGGAAUUGCCUUUGAGACUGAGUGGCUUGAGUACGAGAGAGGUGAGUGGAAUUCCCAGUGUAGAGGUGAAAUUCGUAGAUAUUGGGAAGAACGCCGGUGGCGAAAGCGGCGUGCUGGCCCUCUUCUGACGCUGAGGCGCGAAAGCCAGGGGAGCGAACGGG